GACGAACGCUGGCGGCGUGCCUAAUACAUGCAAGUCGAACGCACUCUCGUUAGAUUGAAGAAGCUUGCUUCUGAUUGAUAACAUUUGAGUGAGUGGCGGACGGGUGAGUAACACGUGGGUAACCUGCCCUAAAGUGGGGGAUAACAUUUGGAAACAGAUGCUAAUACCGCAUAAAACCUAGCACCGCAUGGUGCAAGGUUGAAAGAUGGUUUCGGCUAUCACUUUAGGAUGGACCCGCGGUGCAUUAGUUAGUUGGUGAGGUAAAGGCUCACCAAGACCGUGACGGCAUAGCCGACCUGAGAGGGUAAUCGGCCACACUGGGACUGAGACACGGCCCAGACUCCUACGGGAGGCAGCAGUAGGGAAUCGUUCCACAAUGGACGAAAGUCUGAUGGAGCAACGCCGCGUGAGUGAAGAAGG
This 420-nucleotide ribosomal RNA is filed under the name uncultured bacterium. Its description in RNAcentral is "bacterial SSU rRNA". It matches the Rfam family "Bacterial small subunit ribosomal RNA", at positions 28 to 414 of the family's 1533-position model. The record is from RNAcentral.